RNAcentral lists this ribosomal RNA (410 nucleotides) under Veillonella dispar. RNAcentral describes it as "bacterial SSU rRNA". It matches the Rfam family "Bacterial small subunit ribosomal RNA", at positions 28 to 416 of the family's 1533-position model. Lineage: Bacteria; Bacillati; Bacillota; Negativicutes; Veillonellales; Veillonellaceae. The record is from RNAcentral.
GACGAACGCGGCGGCGUGCUUAACACAUGCAAGUCGAACGAAGAGCGAUGGAAGCUUGCUUCUAUCAAUCUUAGUGGCGAACGGGUGAGUAACGCGUAAUCAACCUGCCCUUCAGAGGGGGACAACAGUUGGAAACGACUGCUAAUACCGCAUACGAUCUAAUCUCGGCAUCGAGGAUAGAUGAAAGGUGGCCUCUAUGUAUAAGCUAUCACUGAAGGAGGGGAUUGCGUCUGAUUAGCUAGUUGGAGGGGUAACGGCCCACCAAGGCGAUGAUCAGUAGCCGGUCUGAGAGGAUGAACGGCCACAUUGGGACUGAGACACGGCCCAGACUCCUACGGGAGGCAGCAGUGGGGAAUCUUCCGCAAUGGACGAAAGUCUGACGGAGCAACGCCGCGUGAGUGAUGACGGCC